This 540-nucleotide ribosomal RNA is filed under the name uncultured bacterium. Its description in RNAcentral is "bacterial SSU rRNA". It matches the Rfam family "Bacterial small subunit ribosomal RNA", at positions 63 to 598 of the family's 1533-position model. The record is from RNAcentral.
CGAACGGCAGCACGGGGGCAACCCUGGUGGCGAGUGGCGAACGGGUGAGUAAUACAUCGGAACGUGUCCUGUAGUGGGGGAUAGCCCGGCGAAAGCCGGAUUAAUACCGCAUACGCUCUACGGAGGAAAGGGGGGGAUCUUAGGACCUCCCGCUACAGGGGCGGCCGAUGUCUGAUUAGCUAGUUGGUGAGGUAAAGGCUCACCAAGGCGACGAUCAGUAGCUGGUCUGAGAGGACGAUCAGCCACACUGGGACUGAGACACGGCCCAGACUCCUACGGGAGGCAGCAGUGGGGAAUUUUGGACAAUGGGCGAAAGCCUGAUCCAGCAAUGCCGCGUGUGUGAAGAAGGCCUUCGGGUUGUAAAGCACUUUUGUCCGGAAAGAAAACGCCGUGGUUAAUACCCGUGGCGGAUGACGGUACCGGAAGAAUAAGCACCGGCUAACUACGUGCCAGCAGCCGCGGUAAUACGUAGGGUGCAAGCGUUAAUCGGAAUUACUGGGCGUAAAGCGUGCGCAGGCGGUCCGCUAAGACAGAUGUGAA